AAGACCUUGCGCUUUUGGAGCGGCCGAUGCCUGAUUAGCUAGUUGGUGGGGUAAUGGCCUACCAAAGCUUCGAUCAGUAGCUGGUCUGAGAGGACGGCCAGCCACACUGGGACUGAGACACGGCCCAGACUCCUACGGGAGGCAGCAGUGGGGAAUUUUGGACAAUGGGGGCAACCCUGAUCCAGCCAUGCCGCGUGAGUGAAGAAGGCCUUCGGGUUGUAAAGCUCUUUCAGCCGGAACGAAACGGUUACGGUUAACACCCGUGACUACUGACGGUACCGGAAGAAGAAGCACCGGCUAACUACGUGCCAGCAGCCGCGGUAAUACGUAGGGUGCGAGCGUUAAUCGGAAUUACUGGGCGUAAAGCGUGCGCAGGUGGUUUUGUAAGUCAGAUGUGAAAGCCCCGGGCUCAACCUGGGAACU
This 423-nucleotide ribosomal RNA is filed under the name uncultured bacterium. RNAcentral describes it as "bacterial SSU rRNA". It matches the Rfam family "Bacterial small subunit ribosomal RNA", at positions 207 to 622 of the family's 1533-position model. The record is from RNAcentral.